This is a long non-coding RNA of Panthera uncia (snow leopard), 2179 nucleotides long. RefSeq lists it as uncharacterized. The record is from RefSeq and is a predicted model, not a curated record. Lineage: Eukaryota; Metazoa; Chordata; Mammalia; Carnivora; Felidae. The transcript is spliced from 2 exons.
UUUGAACAUAAAAUAUUGAGUAAAAUGUUGAUAUGGGACCUGAUCCCCAUAAGUAAAGUGAAGGUUAAAUAAAAUAAUGUAUGUAAAGUUUCUGGCAUAUAUACUGUGCUAUUUAAAUUCUAGCCAUAAUUGUUUUGUUCACAUAUGUAAUUUUCUAGGCCUAAUUAAAAUAAAACAAAGCCAAGCAGAUUUAUACCACACUCUUAAGUUUACCUAACCACUUUCUUUGGUUGCUUAGCAAUGAAGGACAAUGGGACAAAGCUACCAGUGUGACCAAAUACCAAAUUUACAUGAUUGGAAUUUUAGCCCCAAGAAGUCUUUCAAUAGUAGACAUUGUCCUAAUGUGAAAAUGACAGUAAACACUCCAUAUCUGGCUUUGCACUCAUAAUGAAAUACGUUCCCAGAUACAAAAGCUAUACUCCUUUGUAAUGAUAAUUUACAACUGUGAGACAUUUUCAUCAAGAAACUGCUUAUAACUUAAAGAUUCAGUUAAAAAAAACCCACCAACUCUGUGAAGCUUUUCCUGAACUCCACACUACCACAAUUCACAACAGAGUUAAUCACUUACUCUGCAAGUAGCCUUUAUAGCCCUUGUCACAUUUCACCGUCCUUUUAUCAUCUUCUGAUCUUCCUUCUCAGAAAGCCAGGUGUCUUAGAACACAGUCUGCAACUUAUUCAUCAUUGAAAUCACACUUCCUGGUUCAGUCGCUAGCACAUGGAAAACAUUCAGUAAAUGUCUAGUGAACAAAUAAAAUAAUUAUUUAACUAACUGGUGGAAAGGCAAAAACAAUCAUUCCCAUCAGCAAUAAGACUCAAAAAUCUGCAGCAUGUGAUCACUUGAAACACAUCAAUGCUAACAUCUAGAGAGGAAUGUUCAUAAAACAGCCUGGCCAUGUCAUACUGGAGAAAAGUAAGAAUGAUCACUGAGGGACUUAGAGAAUGUGAAUCAGUCUACCAGCAAGUGUUCCCCAAACUGUCAUCUCAACCUCUCAUCUUGGAGGAUGAAUUCUUAAGGCAACUAAGAGAAGAGUAUCAGAGAGCUGUGCUGAAGAAAGAACCAGUUCAAGAAAGUCACUGAGCUUUGAAGAAGGUGGUUGCCGGUGACACAUCUGUUUAGGAAUUAUUCAAAAAGCAACAGAAGAGACAUGGACCCCUUCAUGUCUGUAAGUCCAAUACCACGUCUGAAACUUUUAUCAGCUAGAAAUAUAAGCUGAAUUUGUACCCAAUUUUCCUUUUGACCCUUGGAAUUCCUCAGCAGAUACUGUUAUGCUUUGGUAACAAAGAACCACCAAGUCCCAGCAGCCUAAAACAACAAAAGUUUCUUUCUUUCCCACAUGAAUGUCCACUGGCUGGUGGUUUUGCUCUGUACCAUCCUCACUCAAGACCCAGGCUAAUGAAGCAUCCCAUCUGGAACAUCACCUUGGCAGACAGAGCAAAGGAGCUCUUGAGGGUCAGGCAGCAGCAACUAAAUGCUCCAGCUCAAAAGCCACAUGUGUCAUUUCUGCAAAUGACACACAUUUUCCAAAAGUCGUCAGUGGUCCCACCCAACCACAAGGUAGCAAGCAGUGCCUUCCUACCUUGUGCCCAGAAGCUGAGGAGCCAGCACAAACCACCACACCCUAAGACUAACUCGUUCCGGAGGUACGCCUUGACAGAUCAUCAAAAUCUAGUAAAAGGGAUUAUCUUCUUUUCAGUUAGGAAAAACCAAAAUCAAACCAAACCAAACCAAAAAAUCUUCUCUCCUGUUAAUUUUUUAGCCUCAAGUUUGCCUUUAAAGAAAUGCACUAUACUCUGUGUACAGCCAUUAUAUGAGGCAAAAGAAAACAGACACAAAGAUGGAAUACUGCAUGAAAACAUAAAGUUCAGAAACAAGUAAACCUAACUGACAGUGAUGGAACACACAAAGGUGGUUACCCUGAGGGUUUAAUUCUGACCGGAAAGACUGUCUUCAAGGGGCUAGAAAGGUUCUUUCUCUGCAUAUACAUACAUAAAAGUUGAUUGAACUAUACUCCUAAGAUUGGGUCAUUAAAUGCGUGUUAUAACCUAAAAAAAUUUUUUUCUCAUAUGUAGAACAUAGACAUUAAUGGAAGCUGGGGAGAAACGAAUGAUUCAUGUAAAUCCAUUUCUUAACUGGCACGUUGUUUAAAAAAAUGCAUCUAUAAGUAAAAAAAACUAUUCA